GAGCCUAGGGCUCGAGUGCAGACAGUUCGCAGGUUUGAGGGUCGUGUUCAGAGAAGGGGGUGCAGUCCCUUUAAACUGUAGAUCUGGGAAAAGAAGAAGACGGUAGAGAGUUGUGAUAAGAAAGCAAGCACCUGGUUUAAUUAACAGCCGCCAUUGAAGAAAGAAAAGAAGCAAGCCACAGCCAGACCAGGUGAUUUGAUUUUCUGAAGAAAAAAAAAGGGAAAGUCAGCAAGGAGCACAACAAGCAUAGUGGUCGAUCAAGAAGACAUCGAUCAAAGAAGGUAUAUGUUGUGAAAUUGCCAUCAUGAAGUGAGUACGGUGGGAUUCGAGUGACCGACGCCGGAGUAGAAGAACCGGCAUGAAGAGUCGAAGAGAAGUAAGAGACCGCGCCAGAGAACCGUGAUCAGAAAGCGAGUUCUGGCGUUAGACCGAAAGACGAGCCGCAAAAGAUCGGGGGGCAGCUAGACCGAGAGAAUGAAAGAAAGCAGCAAGGGUAGUAAUUUCUGGUCGAUUAGAUCAGCGGGAAAGAGAAGGUGAAAGGUUCACCAAAGAGAAAGAAGGUGUUGCCGGAAAAGAAGAAAGGAAGCUCUCCGGUAAGAAAAUGUUGCUGGGCAGAAAGAAUCGAUCACUGACUAUAGCAAGAUUGGAAGAACAUAGCAAGAAUGCAAGAGUAAGAAAGUAAGCAAGAAAGAAUGAGAAAGUAAUUGGCGGUGCAAGAAAGAAGAAAGAGCCGUCACAAGAAAGAAAGAAAGAAAGAUCGGUAGUCGAUGAGAAAGAAGAAAGAAAACCCGACAACCGAAAGAAAGAAAGAAAGACACGGACACGUUAGUUCGUAAAGAAAGAGAAAGACCGAACCGUAUGGGUUCGAAUAACAAGUUAGUAAGAAAGAUGAUUCGAAGCAAGCAAGUAAGAACAUAUUCGAAUCCAACAAGAAAGUAGCAAGUUUAGCAAGAUAACCGUUUCCGGUUAAAGCAAGAAAAGAAAGAACGAACGCAAGCAAGAACGAAGCAAGUAGAAAGAACCAAAUCAAGAUUACGGGGGUGAAUGUUGGGUAAUCUUGAUAUUGCGGGUUAUUUACGGGUCAUGUUCGGAUCGAGUACGGGUCAAGUAAUGGGUUCAAGGUUAUCCGGUCACAUGCUAUGGGUCUUGGAGUCAAUGUAGCAAGCAAGAUUUGACCGAGUUUCAGUGGUAACGUGGUGAGAAAUAAGUUGGAAUCAUUGCUAUAAAUCAGGAAGAAGUGGACUGAGUUAUUUUGCAUGUGCUAGUAUUUCUUUAUUAUAAAUAAUGGGGUAGUAGAAGUUCUGUGUACCCACUUUCAUAUUAAUAAAAGCAGAGAGUUAGAAAGU
Molecule: long non-coding RNA, 1346 nt
Filed under: Helianthus annuus (common sunflower)
Lineage: Eukaryota; Viridiplantae; Streptophyta; Magnoliopsida; Asterales; Asteraceae
Description: hypothetical non coding rna
Source: RNAcentral